AUUGCACGUCUAAGCAGUAAGGCUGAGUAUUAGGCAAAUCCGGUACUCGUUAAGGCUGAGCUGUGAUGGGGAGAAGACAUUGUGUCUUCGAGUCGUUGAUUUCACACUGCCGAGAAAAGCCUCUAGAUAGAAAAUAGGUGCCCGUACCGCAAACCGACACAGGUAGUCAAGAUGAGAAUUCUAAGGUGAGCGAGCGAACUCUCGUUAAGGAACUCGGCAAAAUGACCCCGUAACUUCGGGAGAAGGGGUGCUCUUUAGGGUUAACGCCCAGAAGAGCCGCAGUGAAUAGGCCCAAGCGACUGUUUAUCAAAAACACAGGUCUCUGCUAAACCGUAAGGUGAUGUAUAGGGGCUGACGCCUGCCCGGUGCUGGAAGGUUAAGAGGAGUGGUUAGCUUCUGCGAAGCUACGAAUCGAAGCCCCAGUAAACGGCGGCCGUAACUAUAACGGUCCUAAGGUAGCGAAAUUCCUUGUCGGGUAAGUUCCGACCCGCACGAAAGGCGUAACGAUUUGGGCACUGUCUCAACGAGAGACUCGGUGAAAUCAUAGUACCUGUGAAGAUGCAGGUUACCCGCGACAGGACGGAAAGACCCCGUGGAGCUUUACUGUAGCCUGAUAUUGAAAUUCGGCACAGCUUGUACAGGAUAGGUAGGAGCCUUUGAAACGUGAGCGCUAGCUUACGUGGAGGCGCUGGUGGGAUACUACCCUAGCUGUGUUGGCUUUCUAACCCGCACCACUUAUCGUGGUGGGAGACAGUGUCAGGCGGGCAGUUUGACUGGGGCGGUCGCCUCCUAAAAGGUAACGGAGGCGCUCAAAGGUUCCCUCAGAAUGGUUGGAAAUCAUUCAUAGAGUGUAAAGGCAUAAGGGAGCUUGACUGCGAGACCUACAAGUCGAGCAGGGUCGAAAGACGGACUUAGUGAUCCGGUGGUUCCGCAUGGAAGGGCCAUCGCUCAACGGAUAAAAGCUACCCCGGGGAUAACAGGCUUAUCUCCCCCAAGAGUUCACAUCGACGGGGAGGUUUGGCACCUCGAUGUCGGCUCAUCGCAUCCUGGGGCUGUAGUCGGUCCCAAGGGUUGGGCUGUUCGCCCAUUAAAGCGGUACGCGAGCUGGGUUCAGAACGUCGUGAGACAGUUCGGUCCCUAUCCGUCGUGGGCGUAGGAAAUUUGAGAGGAGCUGUCCUUAGUACGAGAGGACCGGGAUGGACAUACCUCUGGUGUACCAGUUGUCGUGCCAACGGCAUAGCUGGGUAGCUAUGUGUGGACGGGAUAAGUGCUGAAAGCAUCUAAGCAUGAAGCCCCCCUCAAGAUGAGAUUUCCCAACUUCGGUUAUAAGAUCCCUCAAAGAUGAUGAGGUUAAUAGGUUCGAGGUGGAAGCAUGGUGACAUGUGGAGCUGACGAAUACUAAUCGAUCGAAGAC
This 1414-nucleotide ribosomal RNA is filed under the name Staphylococcus aureus. RNAcentral's name for it is "partial 23S ribosomal RNA". It matches the Rfam family "Bacterial large subunit ribosomal RNA", at positions 1503 to 2925 of the family's 2925-position model. The record is from RNAcentral. Lineage: Bacteria; Bacillati; Bacillota; Bacilli; Caryophanales; Staphylococcaceae.